This 492-nucleotide ribosomal RNA is filed under the name uncultured bacterium. RNAcentral's name for it is "partial 16S ribosomal RNA". It matches the Rfam family "Bacterial small subunit ribosomal RNA", at positions 30 to 507 of the family's 1533-position model. The record is from RNAcentral.
AUUGAACGCUGGCGGCAUGCUUUACACAUGCAAGUCGAACGGUAACAGGCCUUCGGGUGCUGACGAGUGGCGAACGGGUGAGUAAUGCAUCGGAACGUGCCCAGAGGUGGGGGAUAACGCAGCGAAAGCUGUGCUAAUACCGCAUGUGAUCUGAGGAUGAAAGCGGGGGACCAGGCAGCAAUGUUUGGCCUCGCGCCUUUGGAGCGGCCGAUGUCAGAUUAGGUAGUUGGUGGGGUAAAGGCCUACCAAGCCGACGAUCUGUAGCUGGUCUGAGAGGACGACCAGCCACACUGGGACUGAGACACGGCCCAGACUCCUACGGGAGGCAGCGGUGGGGAAUUUUGGACAAUGGGCGCAAGCCUGAUCCAGCAAUGCCGCGUGCGGGAAGAAGGCCUUCGGGUUGUAAACCGCUUUUGUACGGAACGAAAAGGCUCUGGCUAAUACCUGGGGCUGAUGACGGUACCGUAAGAAUAAGCACCGGCUAACUACGUG